AUCUUUUUUUUUUUAAUAAUUCCGUUCAACUAAUUUUCUAAAGCCAGUCAACAAUGCAAGAAAUCCUUCCAAAUGAUGUAACAAGUAGCACAUAAGUGAACAUGAUGGUCUCAAAGAGGAUACCUGUCUUAUACGGACCCGACUUUGUGCCGAGCUUUGCUAAGUCAAAUGCAUGUGAUGCAAAUAAAGCGAACAUACUAGGGAUAUCUGGCAUGAGGUUUGUUCUUCUAGGUUUAAAUCCUAUUGGAGAAGGUAUCUAGACUAGCUUACUCGAGCAGACGACUCGAGCCGAGGAGGGUCAGCGUACCGGUAGCAUUGCUUUACGACUUAGCUGGUGGUGAUCCCCGCCUAAAACAUGUGUGACUAAAAAUCCUUCACCGGGAGACAAGCACCUCGGCUAUCUCAAAGAAAGCGGGCUAUGUCAAGCAAAUGCCCAAUUUUUAUUUUCAAGAAAACUCAGAGGGAGUGCAUGAGAAGACAGUUUAUAUAUACAAUUCAACAAUAUCAAAGCGGUAAAAGCGAACAAAUAGCACAUUAGGCCCAAAUAAAUCAUAGUGUAUACAAAUAUUAAUAAAGCCAAAUAAAGUCAAUGUACAAGUUUGAAUUCUUGAGAAUCCCCAGCAGAGUCGCCAUAGCUGUCACACCCCUUUUCUACCCCACAAAAUAUAUGUGUUAUGGAUUGUUGUGGGUUAAAGAGUUUUUCCAAUUAAAGUGACAUUUUUGAAGUAAGAAUUAUUUUAUUAUUCAGAGUCGCCACUUGGAAUUUGAUUUUUGGGUGUUCCAAGUCACCUUUUAUUUGAAUCCAUAUUCAAACGAAGAUUUGACUCUUUUAUUAUUGGUCUGUGAAAAUAAAAUCCGGGUAAGGAAUUCUGUUGACCGGGGAGAAGGUGUAAGGCAUUCCCCGAGUCCAGUGGUUCUAGCACGGUCGCUUUAUUGAUUUAAACUUGGAUUAAUUAUAUGAUUUAUUACAUGUGUUAAAAACCUAUAGUGUAUUUAAUCGUUUACCACUUUUAAUUAAUUAACCGCUUUUAGUGUUUAUGAAAUUUAUUUGAACGAGUCGCGAUGUCGCGCACUCGUUAUUUUUGUACAUAUUGUGAAUCGCGUCACGUGAAACGCGCCCGCGAUUUACAACAUGUUUAUUUUUUAUUAUUAUUAUUUGAUGUUAUGAUCGGGUCACAUAAAAUGCACACCCGAAUUGGGGUUACAUAUCAUGACUAUGCCACGGAAACCGUACUCAUAGUCACGAUAAUUUAUUUAAUCUCACAUUACUAGUAAUAAAGUAGAUAAUGACCUUGUUUACAUAUUUAACAACGAUUAUAGCUAUAAUUUUUUAAUCAUUUCAGUAAUGAAACAAUUCAUCAAUUUCUCUAAAGCAAUACAUAAAAGGUCUGCAGCUUUUCAUUUAAUCACUUUGUUUAAUAACCAAAAUUCAUGCUUCAAGUAAUUGCUAAUUAACAAACCCAACUAUUUCCUUACUGGGCCAAAUCCCCUUUUAGUAUAUUACCUAUUUAAUACAACUGAAAAUCAAAACUUUUUAUUCUAAUUAAACUCAGAACUUAAAUGUUGUCCAAAUUCAUUCACAAUGAGGCAUCAUGAAUUCAUCAAGAAUGCAUUAACAUAACCCAAACAAAACACAUGGAAAAGAUUCAUGAACAAACAAAAGUUUUAGGAAAGGUAAGAAUGAACCUUUAUACUCAGCAAAUAAACUCCUUGAAUAGAUCAAAAUGCAGAGAUUCCAACGUAAUCAAAAUAUAUGAAUCCCAAGAUUACAACCCGGAUAAAGAACUCGAACAAGACCUGCGGCAGGAGCACUCGAACGGCAACCUCCACGAUUUUGAUAAAAGAAAGGAAACUGGGUUCCGUUCAGGUGAUUUUUGGACUGUUUCAUGGAGGCUUCAGGCAGGUUUCAUGGCUGCAUACGAAGAUCGAUUUUUGGAGCUCGGUUCAUGGUUGUUUUUUGGCAAAGUUUGGGGCAGGUUUCAGCGUUUUUUGGGCUGGAUUUUGCUGCCUUUUGGACUGAUUCCGUGGCUUCUAAAUAGCUGAUUUUGCAGCAGCUAUGGUGUUUUAUUGGGAUGGUUUAUGGACUGGUUUUAAGAGCUGGUUUGGAGGUAUUUUUGGGGUUACUUUCAGCUGAUUUUUCAUGCUGAUUUGGCGUGAUUUUGGGGCAAGUUCAGGAUGGUUUUAAGGGCUAAUUCAUGAAGGGGUUUAGAGAGGGUUACGCUGUGGCAUUUUGGGUUGUUCGGAAAUGUUUUGGGGGUGGUUUGAGGGCAGUUUUUGGAGUUGUUUAAAGCUGGGUUUUUGGGGGGAUUUUUAGGAUGGUUUAAUGCUGAUUU
Molecule: long non-coding RNA, 2333 nt
Filed under: Nicotiana tabacum (common tobacco)
Lineage: Eukaryota; Viridiplantae; Streptophyta; Magnoliopsida; Solanales; Solanaceae
Description: long non-coding RNA (NTAB_LNC010729)
Source: RNAcentral